AUACGGAGGGUGCGAGCGUUAAUCGGAAUUACUGGGCGUAAAGCGCGCGUAGGCGGUUUGGUCAGUCGGAUGUGAAAGCCCUAGGCUCAACCUGGGAAUGGUAUUCGAUACUGCCUGACUAGAGUAUGGUAGAGGGAAGUGGAAUUUCCGGUGUAGCGGUGAAAUGCGUAGAUAUCGGAAGGAACACCAGUGGCGAAGGCGACUUCCUGGGCCAAUACUGACGCUGAGGUGCGAAAGCGUGGGGAGCAAACAGGAUUAGAUACCCCGGUAGUCC
RNAcentral lists this ribosomal RNA (274 nucleotides) under uncultured bacterium. Its description in RNAcentral is "partial 16S ribosomal RNA". It matches the Rfam family "Bacterial small subunit ribosomal RNA", at positions 523 to 796 of the family's 1533-position model. The record is from RNAcentral.